CAGCAACAGGAAAACGUCAGUAUGUGAACACAGCCUGGGGUCAGAGGUCAUUCACCUGAACUAUAUCCACUUCCUGGUCAUGCUAACAACAUGUUAACAACUUCAGCUAAUAAAGUCAAUAAUGGAUCAAAAUAUUUGGACACUUUAACUAGGAUGAAACAACUGAAGAGAAUAAAUAUUUAUUUUAACUGUAUUUUUUUCCUUUCUUAAGAAACUUUAAAUUUUCUGUUUAGGUUUUGUUAAUAAUGUCUUUUAGCCGUAUUUUAAACUUUAAAUAUCUUUUAACUCAAAGACAUGUUGAGCUGGACAACCAAUCAACUGAUUGACCGACUGACUGACCGACUGACCAAGUGACUGACUGACUGACCGACUGACCAAGUGACUGACCAACUUACUGACCGACUGACCAAGUGACUGACUGACCGACUGACCAAGUGACUGACCGACUGACCAACCGACCCACCCCAGGUGAAAUGUAUGUACACCCCGUCCAGGUUCUGACUCCAGAAAACACCCAGCUGAUCCAGACUGGCAUUAUUUAGAGAAGAUAGAGAAAAUGAAGAAAGUAAGUACACCCUGCUGUCUUCCCACCCUGACAGGUUUGCUGGAGGCUGAACCAGAACCAGUGAUCUAACUGGAUUAACUGGGAUCUUCUGACUAGUUGAGGAAAUCUCACCUGUGAGGUCAAAGUGUCUUUCAUCACGUUUCUUACGCAACCCCGCUGCAAGCCGUGGGACCGGAGGAGCCGUGGAGCGCUGCUGCCCCCUGCUGGAGCUGCCAUGAACGGCACCGUGUGAUCAGCUCAGUUUGAUUAUUUAUCAGGGACGAUGUUAAAAAAACAAGUGGCGGAGAUUUUCUACAGAUUUAGCUUCAGCUGGUUUCCAUCUGCAGGUGACUUACUGUAAAAUCAUCCAACAUGCAUCCAUAUAAUAAUAAUAAUAAUAAUAAUAAUAAUAAUAUAUUAUUAUCUCUCAUUUUUAUUCACUUAUUGUUUGUGCAGCUGGACUGUUCCUUCUUGCUGUUUCUGGUCACAAACUUUUCCAUUUAGCGCCGCGACGCUAACAGUAGCAGAAAAGCAGCCAGUCAGAAAGAUGAGCAUGACAAAUAACAUUUCAAUCAAUUAUUUUACCUUCUAUUUUAUAACAAUGAUUGAAAAGCAGAGUACAUUUUAUGAUUAAAAAAAUAUUACACCCUAUAUUUUUAUUUUUGCUUCUUCUUCUCAUCUCCAGUUGGAGGGAAAAUGUUCCAGCUGCUCGAAUCCACAGGCAGAAAAUCAAAUAAAUACUUUUUUUUAAGUCCCAAAAUGUUUCAGAUUAAAAGGAAACCUUAGAAUCAUGAUGGUUCUCUUCUGCAUGCAGAUAUGAAGGGAUGGUGGAGAGAAAAACAGAAUAAAUAAUCAUUUAUUAAUCCCAACAAAUUAAAUUGCAAUAAUUCAGAUUAUGUUAUUAAUCUCUGAACUGCUGAUUCCCUUCAGAACAUCAACGUGACUCAGAAAGUUCUGCAGAAGUUAAAGAAGAAAGUUCCGUUCUGGAUGGAGAACCACUUUCAUAAAACACCAUAAAGCAUCUCCAGUAGCAGUCAGUGUGGCAGCGAAUGUGAAGAGGCCUCUGACUGACAUGCUGACAGCUUAGCAUCCAGGCAGCAGACGAGUCACUGCUUUUUGGUCAGAGAGACGCUGGAGUUCGGAACGAUUCUUGGAAAACAUGGCUGAACUUCCAUCAGCCUCCUGAUCAGCUCCUCUCUGACCGGGGUCAAAGUUCACGGUUCAUCUGAGCUUUUGAGAUGCUUAUCAGCUGCUCCAACCUGUAAAAACACCUCGUUGCUAUGGUUACGCGACAUAACAACAUUGCAAAAGUUAAAAGGUAAAAGCAGAAAAUCUUCCAGCUGCUUAGUGUCCAGCAGAGCUGCUCCAACAUGCUGCCACCAGGAGGCGCUGAGAGGAGAAAUGCUCAAAAAGGUCUCAGGAAUGUAGAAUAACAUGAAGAAUGUUGACAGGGAAGAUUGAUAACGGAGUGAAAAUCACUGAUGAGUUAAAAUGCAAAACUCCGGAGGAUAGAAGGACCGGCAAGAGACGAAACCUUAAAAUAAAAAUUCAAUUAAACAAGA
Xiphophorus couchianus (Monterrey platyfish) is the source of this 2106-nucleotide long non-coding RNA. RefSeq lists it as uncharacterized. The transcript has 2 exons. The record is from RefSeq and is a predicted model, not a curated record. NCBI's taxonomy places the organism in Eukaryota, Metazoa, Chordata, Actinopteri, Cyprinodontiformes, Poeciliidae.